RNAcentral lists this ribosomal RNA (372 nucleotides) under uncultured organism. RNAcentral's name for it is "bacterial SSU rRNA". It matches the Rfam family "Bacterial small subunit ribosomal RNA", at positions 526 to 896 of the family's 1533-position model. The record is from RNAcentral.
CGUAGGUGGCAAGCGAUACUCGGAAUCACUAGGCGUAAAGCGCAGGUAGGAGGUUGGAUAAGUCUCUUGUGAAAGCUCCCGGCUUAACUGGGAGAGGUCAAGGGAAACUAUCCGGCUAGAGUGUGGUAGAGGAAGAUGGAAUUCCCGGUGUAGCGGUGAAAUGCGUAGAUAUCGGGAGGAAUACCUAUGGCGAAAGCAGUCUUCUGGACCAUCACUGACUCUGAUCUGCGAAAGCUAGGGGAGCAAACAGGAUUAGAUACCCUGGUAGUCCUAGCCCUAAACGAUGCUCAUUAGGUGUGGGAGGUAUCGACCCCUUCCGCGCCGUAGCUAACGCAUUAAAUGAGCCGCCUGGGGAGUACGGCCGCAAGGUUG